UACGUAGGGUGCGAGCGUUGUCCGGAAUUACUGGGCGUAAAGAGCUCGUAGGUGGUUUGUCGCGUUGUUCGUGAAAACUCACAGCUCAACUGUGGGCGUGCGGGCGAUACGGGCAGACUGGAGUACUGCAGGGGAGACUGGAAUUCCUGGUGUAGCGGUGGAAUGCGCAGAUAUCAGGAGGAACACCGGUGGCGAAGGCGGGUCUCUGGGCCGUAACUGACGCUGAGGAGCGAAAGCGUGGGGAGCGAACAGG
This 253-nucleotide ribosomal RNA is filed under the name uncultured bacterium. RNAcentral's name for it is "partial 16S ribosomal RNA". It matches the Rfam family "Bacterial small subunit ribosomal RNA", at positions 524 to 776 of the family's 1533-position model. The record is from RNAcentral.